GAUCGACACUCUUCAACACCGUAUCCAUGCGUAUUCUCCAAUCUCGCGCGCACGGACGGGCGCCGUCAGGCUUGACGAAAUCCCGGAAGAGACCGAUGAUCUCGAAUCAGUCCGUAAUGGGACUGUAUCUAAUCGGACCCAAACUUUAAAUCAAGUCCUAUUUGGGACUUUUGAGAACCCCUAUGGACAUCAACAUGGACGCAAACAAUCGGACACAAACGACAGAGCAGCCCCAAGGGGCCCCCCCAUCA
This 251-nucleotide unclassified non-coding RNA is filed under the name Hevea brasiliensis (rubber tree). Lineage: Eukaryota; Viridiplantae; Streptophyta; Magnoliopsida; Malpighiales; Euphorbiaceae. The record is from RNAcentral.